This is a long non-coding RNA of Dermochelys coriacea (leatherback sea turtle), 2163 nucleotides long. RefSeq lists it as uncharacterized. The record is from RefSeq and is a predicted model, not a curated record. The transcript is spliced from 3 exons. Lineage: Eukaryota; Metazoa; Chordata; Testudines; Dermochelyidae.
AAAUACCAAAUGCCUGGAAAACAAAAAUAUUUUCAAUUUGGCUAGCCUACUGUGGUGCCUUAUGGGAAUUGUAGUUUGGUUUCCUCACAUUCCCAUUCCUUUUUAUGGCUUGGGCCCCCCAGCUGGACUAUAUCUCCCAUGAUGCAACCACCUCCCAUCACUACCAGGUGAGACUGUGGUGCAUCAUGGGAGGUGCUGGGUGAACAGAGAGCUCAACCUUAAAAGAAUGGAAGCAUGAGGCACCUGAAGUACAACUUCCUGAGAAAGCCUGUUUUCCAAACAGCUCUACUCAAUUCCACUGUUUGCCAGCAGAACUGGUUGCCAUGGUGGACAGCCUGAGUGUGCAGCUGUUACUUUAGAUGGCUGGAUGAGGAGAGCCGCACUGACAACUUCAGCAGACUGCGCUGGAACUGUUGGCACAUACGGAAGCUUUGCAUAAUUUACUGAGUGACUCAUUGUGCCCAUUUUGGUGCCUCUUUUAGGAUGUCUCAUACCACUGAGUACAUUUUAUAAGCCACUUGCUACUUCUGAAAGAAACAGUCUCUGUUUAAAAAACUGCUUGAAAGCCACUUUUCAAAUCUGCUUUUAGUGAUCUUAUUUUGCCACAGAAGGGGAGAAAAAAAAAACUGGCCUCAUUUACUGCAAAUCACAUCAGCACAGAGUUAAUGCUCCCAGCAAAACAGAAGAAGAAUAAUGAAUGCUUACCCAUGGUGUCCACAAUGAGAUCCAGCUGUCCGUUAUAGACAGUAAUGUUGACAUUGGCUGCCAGCAGCGCAUCCACAAUAUCAAUGACAGGCUUCAUGAAGUCUUCAGCCAUGUGUAAGAAGACUUCUUCUGACUGACCUAUUCAUAUGGAUCCAAACAUGAAAGUCAGUGCAAUUGACUAAGCAUGUCAUCUUUAAACUGCGGCAUCAGCAGCAGGGCUUGACAAGAGUUGUGAAAUACAAUUGGUUGCUGCAGAAAAGCAACCACUAGAAUGGUACACUCCAGACCACAGUGAUCAGUCUGAGUGACUGGAGAAUGGCCAAGUUCCACAUAUACACAGGAGAUAUCAAAGCAGCACAGCACAUGUUUGUAACAGUACUACACAUGCGGAUUUGUCAGUUUCCAUCUCCCAUUACAAAUCUGGAAGGGUCCUGGCAGGUAUUCAGCAUUGCUCUCUAAUGUUUCUCUCUGGUUUGAUUUACACCCUCCUUUCCCUUAACUCCCACAGCACUGGCUUUCUGGCAGAGGAGAAUGGCUAUCGAAUCCUUUUGGCAGACUGAGUUGCACAGAUAGUUUUCAGCUGCUCAAGUAUGAGGCAUACUCUCCCUUCCAGGGUGUGCACCUAGCAGGCUAGAGAGGAAGUCACAAGGACAAGAAUCAUGCCUAUGCCCAUAGGCCUGCCCAGUUCCCUCUUGUGGAUUCUUUUUAGGAGCCUGUCCUACAGUUGGGCCCAAGCAGGAUGAGAAUUUUAAUAAGCAAGUCAGGGAGACUUUAUGUGGUAGAGCAUCAGGAUUGCUUUGAACAGACUACAAUACUGUGUAAGUGACAAGCUGCCCAUAAGAGCCAUGUCAGAGGGUAGAGUACCUCCCCAUCUGAUAGAGUCAGGAAUGAUUCUCAGCUUCUUUCGGAUGGGUCCAUUCAUCAGGUCACUUAAGCUGUCCUUAUGCAGACGUUCAACAUGGCGCUGAUAAAGUUUAACUGAAAGGAAAGAAAAAAGUUUACUCUGCAGCACAGGGUGUUGGAUUUAAAGAUGAUGGAUAUGCACUAAGAUGGUAUCUGAUAAACACCACAAGGCAAAAACAAGUUUUAUCGAGGCUCUUUCAGUUCAGAUUUAAGAAACUCUUUUCUACUGAAACUGCAAUAGUACACAGAGAAAGAGACUUACUGAUUUUUAAGAGGGCUAUAGUAGAAGAUAGAAUCAGCCUAUAGCAUGGUCAAAAGAUAGAUGAGGAACAGAGACAUUAUCUUGUUCUUUUUUCUGCCAGUGCAUAUUGUUCCCAACACUACAUUUCUGGGGCUAAGUUUCUGCUUUACCUAGUAAGCCUGAACAUAAACUUUUCUCAUCACCAGACGAGUUAGUUUUGAGCUGCAACCACUUGUUACUUUUAAAAGUAAGCAGGGCUCUUCACCUCAUUCCUCCACCCCCAUCGGUCUCUGGGAGCCAAGAGAGACAGUAAU